This 20-nucleotide non-coding RNA is filed under the name Mus musculus (house mouse). The record is from RNAcentral. Lineage: Eukaryota; Metazoa; Chordata; Mammalia; Rodentia; Muridae.
UGAAUUGGCUGUGGACUCCU